AGUUCGGAUUGCAGCCUGCAACUCGGCUGCAUGAAGCUGGAAUCGCUAGUAAUCGCGGAUCAGAAUGCCGCGGUGAAUACGUUCCCGGGUCUUGUACACACCGCCCGUCACACCAUGGGAGUCGGAAAUGCCCGAAGCCGGUGACCCAACCCGAAAGGGAGGGAGCCGUCGAAGGCAGGUCGGAUGACUGGGGUGAAGUCGUAACAAGGUACC
Molecule: ribosomal RNA, 213 nt
Filed under: uncultured bacterium
Lineage: Bacteria
Description: partial 16S ribosomal RNA
Rfam family: Bacterial small subunit ribosomal RNA
Source: RNAcentral